AAUUUUGGACAAGGGGGGAAACCCUGACCCAGCAAUGCCGCGCGCAGUAUGAAGGCCAACGGGUUCUAAAGUACUUUUGUUCGGAACGAAAAUUCUUGGGCUAAUACCCUGGGAUCAUGACGGUACCGCAAGAAUAAGCACCGGCUAACUACGUGCCAGCAGCCGGGGUAAUACGUAGGGUGCAAGCGUUAAUCGGAAUUACUGGGCGUAAAGCGUGCGCAGGCGGUUUUGUACGACAGUGGUGAAAUCCCCGGGCUCAACCUGGGAACUGCCAUUGUGACUGCAAGGCUGGAGUGCGGCAGAGGGGGAUGGAAUUCCGCGUGUAGCAGUGAAAUGCGUAGAUAUGCGGAGGAACACCGAUGGCGAAGGCAAUCCCCUGGGCCUGCACUGACGCUCAUGCACGAAAGCGUGGGGAGCAAACAGG
Molecule: ribosomal RNA, 424 nt
Filed under: uncultured bacterium
Lineage: Bacteria
Description: partial 16S ribosomal RNA
Rfam family: Bacterial small subunit ribosomal RNA
Source: RNAcentral